This 301-nucleotide ribosomal RNA is filed under the name uncultured bacterium. Its description in RNAcentral is "partial 16S ribosomal RNA". It matches the Rfam family "Bacterial small subunit ribosomal RNA", at positions 509 to 809 of the family's 1533-position model. The record is from RNAcentral.
CAGUAGCCGCGGUAAUACGGAGGGAGCUAGCGUUGUUCGGAAUUACCGGGCGUAAAGCGCACGUAGGCGGCUUUGUAAGUUAGAGGUGAAAGCCUGGAGCUCAACUCCAGAACUGCCUUUAAGACUGCAUCGCUUGAAUCCAGGAGAGGUGAGUGGAAUUCCGAGUGUAGAGGUGAAAUUCGUAGAUAUUCGGAAGAACACCAGUGGCGAAGGCGGCUCACUGGACUGGUAUUGACGCUGAGGUGCGAAAGCGUGGGGAGCAAACAGGAUUAGAUACCCCUGUAGUCCCUGUCUCUUAUAA